RNAcentral lists this ribosomal RNA (489 nucleotides) under uncultured bacterium. RNAcentral describes it as "partial 16S ribosomal RNA". It matches the Rfam family "Bacterial small subunit ribosomal RNA", at positions 30 to 507 of the family's 1533-position model. The record is from RNAcentral.
UUGAACGCUUGCGGCCUGCCUUACACCUGCAAGUCGCACGGCAGCAUGAUCUAGCUUGCUAGAUUGAUGGCGAGUGGCGAACGGGUGAGUAAUACAUCGGAACGUGCCCUGUAGUGGGGGAUAACUAGUCGAAAGAUUAGCUAAUACCGCAUACGACCUGAGGGUGAAAGUGGGGGACCGCAAGGCCUCAUGCUAUAGGAGCGGCCGAUGUCUGAUUAGCUAGUUGGUGAGGUAAAGGCUCACCAAGGCGACGAUCAGUAGCUGGUCUGAGGGGACGAUCAGCCACACUGGGACUGAGACACGGCCCAGACUCCUACGGGAGGCAGCAGUGGGGAAUUUUGGACAAUGGGCGAAAGCCUGAUCCAGCAAUGCCGCGUGUGUGAAGAAGGCCUUCGGGUUGUAAAGCACUUUUGUCCGGAAAGAAAUGGCUCUGGUUAAUACCUGGGGUCGAUGACGGUACCGGAAGAAUAAGGACCGGCUAACUACGUG